UUCUUUUUUUACUCUCUUACAGGGUAAGGAGUAUGUGUUCGUUGCCAAUUCAGAUAACUUGGGUGCCCUAGUUGAUUUGAAAAUCUUAAAUCAUUUGAUCCAGAACAAGAAUGAAUACUGUAUGGAGGUGACUCCCAAGACAUUGGCUGAUGUGAAGGGUGGCACUCUUAUUUCUUAUGAAGGAAGGGUUCAG
Molecule: long non-coding RNA, 193 nt
Organism: Lathyrus oleraceus (garden pea)
Lineage: Eukaryota; Viridiplantae; Streptophyta; Magnoliopsida; Fabales; Fabaceae
Exons: 3
Source: RefSeq, a predicted model, not a curated record